Molecule: non-coding RNA, 1781 nt
Organism: Paramuricea clavata
Lineage: Eukaryota; Metazoa; Cnidaria; Anthozoa; Malacalcyonacea; Plexauridae
Source: the annotation of a GenBank genome assembly
ACAUUUCUGAAGUUAAUCACCAUCCACGGCCUGUUCUACACUGAUAAACUAAAUAGUUAGUCUGUCCGGUUAUGCAUGGCUUCCAUAUUCGUUUAUAACUAAAAUUUACCAAUAUUGUUUAUAGAUUGUAGAAUUGGCUUGAAAGGAUUGUAAAGAUACAAAACAAACGUUUUCAACUUCUAUGCCUAAAGACAGAUUAAAACGGGACAAGUAGCAUUGACAUAUAUCAUAUUUCAUUAUAUCUAAGGAUUUGCAAGAUCAAACCACCUGGAAAAUAGAACAAGAUCUUCGACGUUUCGAGCGAAGGCCCUUCGUUGGGAAUGUACCUUCCUCGGGCCUUCGCUCGAAACGUCCAAGUUCUGCUUGUAUUUUUCGAGUAUAGUUGCAUCCCUAUCAAUCCGAAACUUUCUUAGUAAAAGUUUUCCUGUUCGGAACUUUAAACUUCUUGAUAUAUAUUUUCAGGCAGUUGUGUUAUAUUUCCUCCUUUCCAUUUACAGUAAUGGGUUAGGCUAUCCAACUUGACUAUCCCUGAAUGUUAUUAGAAAGUACCGGACACCGGAUGGCAAGUUUCUUCACAUCAACGAACGCCCUUGAAGUUGUCAAAGUCUAAACGAAUACUUGAUCAUUUUCAAUAUCCACAUCAUAACGCACUUAUAGCUAUAAUAGGGCACACUUCAUUUCCGGAAGGGUUACACUUUCCUGUUGCACCUAAUAUCAAACGGGCCUUAGUUUUGCCUUAGUUUCUAAUAAGAGGAAAACCGGAGCAUCUAAAUAAAAUCCUCGAAGCACAGACCACCACCAAAAACAUCUCUCAGGAAGGGCCUAUGGUUGAAGACAACUUCAAUUGCUUAAAUAAGUAGUAAGGCCAUGUAAGACAUGUAACUAUUUUGAUAAUUGCCCUGAAUACAUGAAUUAAAGUAGAUCAGUAUAUACCCAGACGAACUCUGGGCUCAUCAUCACCAAUCCAACUUGAGGUGCCAGCUGAAAAUGGCACCUUUCAAGACAACGCUGUUUGUCAACUUUAAUUCUCUCCCAGAUUGUUUACGAAAUUAGCCUUUCUCACGCCGCCAUUUUUGGGAUACUGUCUUUUCCAAAUCUGAGAUUGUACGCAGUGAAUAAGGGAUUUGUAUAACUAUAAUUGUGAGUAUAAUCAUUAUAAAGUACCAUUUAAAACACGAGUAGGAUGUGUUUUAUCAGAUAUAAACCGACGCGAACGGUGAGAAAACGAGAAAACCUGGGUUUUUUUGGCCGCCAUCUUGACGCUUUAAACCCCUUUGAUUAUUUCAUUAUUGAAUUUUCUGCCAGAAAAAACGCAAUAGCUACUAAAGGGGUUUUUACACAGUUUAAAAAACAACACUAUAUAAGGUCUAUUUUACAAUUUUUUCUUGUUUCUCUAAAAUACUUCAUAACUAAAACGAAAAAGCCAACAUCAAGAAACGAAAAGAUUGGCUUUAGCAGUUUAGGCUAUCCGAAUUCCGAUCAAGCUUCGUCGCUUUUCAUGUAUGUAUAGGUCUCGCAUGUGGUGUGAACGAAGAGUGUAUCUAAAAGUCGAGGGUCGAGAGUCGAGAGUAUAGGUCGAGAGUAAAAGUCGAGAGUAAUAUAAAAGUCGAGAGUCGAGAGUAAAAGUCGGGGGUCGAGAGUAAAAAGUCGAGAGGAAAAAGUCGAGAGUCGAGAGUAAAAAGUCGAGAGUCGAUCGAGAGUAAAAAGUCGAGAGUCGGCAAAUGUCAUCAGAAACAACAAAGUCAAAAUAUUUUUAACCACGUUUAACACAAUCUAUAUAU